ACCGUGAGCGUGCGAGCGAUACGGGCAGACUAGAGUACUGCAGGGGAGACUGGAAUUCCUGGUGUAGCGGUGGAAUGCGCAGAUAUCAGGAGGAACACCGGUGGCGAAGGCGGGUCUCUGGGCAGUAACUGACGCUGAGGAGCGAAAGCGUGGGGAGCGAACAGGAUUAGAUACCCUGGUAGUCCACGCCGUAAACGGUGGGUACUAAGUGUGGGUUUCCUUCCUUGGGAUCCGUGCCGUAGCUAACGCAUUAAGUACCCCGCCUGGGGAGUACGGCCGCAAGGCUAAAACUCAAAGGAAUUGACGGGGGCCCGCACAAGCGGCGGAGCAUGUGGAUUAAUUCGAUGCAACGCGAAGAACCUUACCUGGGUUUGACAUGCACAGGACGCGUCUAGAGAUAGGCGUUCCCUUGUGGCCUGUGUGCAGGUGGUGCAUGGCAGUCGUCAGCUCGUGUCGUGAGAUGUUGGGUUAAGUCCCGCAACGAGCGCAACCCUUGUCUCAUGUUGCCAGCGGGUAAUGCCGGGGACUCGUGAGAAACUGCCGGGGUCAACUCGGAGGAAGGUGGGGAUGACGUCAAGUCAUCAUGCCCCAUAUGUCCAGGGCUUCACACAUGCUACAAUGGCCGGUACAAAGGGCUGCGAUGCCG
This 646-nucleotide ribosomal RNA is filed under the name uncultured bacterium. Its description in RNAcentral is "bacterial SSU rRNA". It matches the Rfam family "Bacterial small subunit ribosomal RNA", at positions 612 to 1257 of the family's 1533-position model. The record is from RNAcentral.